RNAcentral lists this long non-coding RNA (1972 nucleotides) under Homo sapiens (human). RNAcentral describes it as "non-protein coding lnc-SPRTN-1:1". The record is from RNAcentral. Lineage: Eukaryota; Metazoa; Chordata; Mammalia; Primates; Hominidae.
GAGAAGAGGUAAAAUGAUCUUUAUUUGCAAUUUAUAUAAUUGUGCACUUGAAAACUCCAAAGAACAACCAGAAAACUAUUAAAAUUCAUAAAAUAAUUAGAUAAGGCACUGGUUACAAUAUUUGUAAUUCAAAUCAGGAUGUUUCCUAUGUACAAUCAGAAAACAUAAUGGAGGUAAACAUUUCAUUCACAAAAGCAUUAACAGAUGACAUGCUUUGGAAUAAACACUAAGAGACCUACCUGAAGAAAAUUUGAAAAUGCCACUGAAAUACAAAACACUCGCAUAUACAUGGAUAGGAAGAUUCAAAAUUAUAAAGAUGUCACUUCUCCCUAAAUUAAUCUAGAGACUCAGUAUGAUUUCAAUCCAAAUGCCAACUCUCUGGGGGGCUGAUAUGAAAUUGUCAUACAACUUGAAUAAUAAACAUGAGAAUACAGUUGGCCCUUUGGUAAAAGAUUGUCAUAAAAUCAUUCAAAAUACAACUUGAAUAUAACUGUGAGAAUAUAGUCAGCCCUUCAUAUCCAUGGGUUCUGCAUCCAUGGAUUCAACAAAGGAGGGAUAAAAAAUACUUCAAAAAGACUGUGUCUGUACUGAACAUGUACAGACUUUUAAAAAUGUCAUUAUUUCCUAAACAAUACAGUAUAACUAUUUACAUAGUAUUAGAUAGUCUCAUCUAAGUAAUCUAGAGAUGAUUUAAAACAUACAGGAGGAUGUGCAUAGGUUAUAUGUGAAUUCUAUACCAUUUUAUACCAGGGACUUGAGCGUCUGUGGAUUUUGGUAUAUGAGAGAGGUCCUAGGACCGGUUCCCCACAGACCAAGGGAUGAGAGUACUUUGGAAAAACCUGAGACAGAAGAAUGAGACCAGCCCUACCAGUUAUUAAAUUUCGAAACUACAGUUAACCAAAAUAGCUUGGUACUGAACAGAAAUAGAAAUAUCAGUGGCAUUUCAAAUCAGUGGGGGAAAAGGAUGAUUCAAAAUUGUUGUGAAAAUUUGCUAAUUAUUUGUGGGGAAAUUGCAUUCUGACAUCAUCACUUACAUUUUUUUUUUGAGAUGGAGUCUCACUGUCUCGCCCAGGCUGGAGUGCAAUGGCACGAUCUCGGCUUGCUGCAGCCUCCGCCUCAGCCUCCCAAGUAGCUGGGAUUACAGGCACCCGCCAUCAUGCCCAGCUAAUUUUUGUACUUUUGUAGAGAUGGGAAGAUUGCUUGAGCCCAGGAGUUCAAGAUCAACCUGGGCAACAAAGUGAACACCACCCCCCACAACCUCUGCCCUGUAUGUAUAGAAAAAUUUAAAAAUUAGCCAGGCAGGAGGAUCCCUUGGGCCAGGCCAGGGAGGUUGAGGCUACAAUGAGGCAUGAUAGCACCAUCGCACUCCAGCCUGGGCGAUACAGUGAGAUCCUGGCUCAAAAAACAAACCAACCAACAAACAAAAAUGAGAACAACCUAGAAGCUAUUUUUUCACAGAGAAGAUUAGUAACAAUGAAUAUUAUUACUAAUAAGAUGACUUUUUUUUGAGACAGGGUCUCGCUCUGUCCCCCAGGCUAGAGUGCAGUGGUGCUGUCAUGGCUCACUACAGCCUCAACCUCCUGGGCUCAAGCAAUCCUCCUGCCUCAGCCUCCCGAGUAGCUGGGACUUACAGGUGUGCGCCACCACGCCCGGCUAAUUUUUCUAUUUUUUGUAAAGACGGGGGUCUACCUAUGCUAUUCAGGCUGGUCUCGAACUCCUGGGCUUAAGCAAUCCACUCUCCUUAGCCUGCCAAAGUGUUGGGAUUACAGACUUGAGCCACUGUGCUUGGCAAGGCUACUCUUAAUUAAACAGUGAAUGAAUACAGGUUUAUAAGCAUUCAUGUAAACAGGUAUUUUCCUAUACUGUUGGAGAGAACUUAAAAAUGAUAUAACCCUCCUGAUGAGCAACUGGUAAUGCUUAAAUUUAAAAUGUAAUUUGGCAGAGCAAUUUCUAAAAAUACAUCCCAUAGAUA